Molecule: ribosomal RNA, 465 nt
Filed under: uncultured bacterium
Lineage: Bacteria
Description: partial 16S ribosomal RNA
Rfam family: Bacterial small subunit ribosomal RNA
Source: RNAcentral
GACGAACGCUGGCGGCGUGCUUAACACAUGCAAGUCGAACGGAAAGGCCCUGCUUGCAGGGUACUCGAGUGUCGAACGGGUGAGUAACACGUGUGUGAUCUGCCCUGCACUUCGGGAUAAGCCUGGGAAACUGGGUCUAAUACCGGGGAGAGGCCAUUUUUAUUGUUAUGGUUGGAAAGUUUUUUCGGUGUAGGAUGAGCUCGCGGCCUAUCUGCUUGUUGGUGGGUUAAUGGCCUACCAAGGCGGCGACGGGUAGCCGGCCUGAGAGGGUGGACGGCCACAUUGGGACUGGGAUACGGCCCCGAAUCCUACGGGAGGCAGGAGUGGGGAAUAUUGCACAAUGGGCGCAAGCCUGAUGCAGCGACGCCGCGUGGCGGAUGACGGGCUUCGGGUUGUAAAAUCGUUUCGCUAGGGAAGAAGCUUUUUGUGACGGUACCUAGAUAAGAAGCACCGGCUAACUACGUG